This 496-nucleotide ribosomal RNA is filed under the name uncultured bacterium. RNAcentral describes it as "partial 16S ribosomal RNA". It matches the Rfam family "Bacterial small subunit ribosomal RNA", at positions 28 to 506 of the family's 1533-position model. The record is from RNAcentral.
GAUGAACGCUGGCGGCGUGCCUAAUACAUGCAAGUCGAGCGAACGGACGAGAAGCUUGCUUCUCUGAUGUUAGCGGCGGACGGGUGAGUAACACGUGGAUAACCUACCUAUAAGACUGGGAUAACUUCGGGAAACCGGAGCUAAUACCGGAUAAUAUUUUGAACCGCAUGGUUCAAAAGUGAAAGACGGUCUUGCUGUCACUUAUAGAUGGAUCCGCGCUGCAUUAGCUAGUUGGUAAGGUAACGGCUUACCAAGGCAACGAUGCAUAGCCGACCUGAGAGGGUGAUCGGCCACACUGGAACUGAGACACGGUCCAGACUCCUACGGGAGGCAGCAGUAGGGAAUCUUCCGCAAUGGGCGAAAGCCUGACGGAGCAACGCCGCGUGAGUGAUGAAGGUCUUCGGAUCGUAAAACCCUGUUAUUAGGGAAGAACAUAUGUGUAAGUAACUGUGCACAUCUUGACGGUACCUAAUCAGAAAGCCACGGCGAACUACGU